Molecule: ribosomal RNA, 1000 nt
Filed under: Virgibacillus sp.
Lineage: Bacteria; Bacillati; Bacillota; Bacilli; Caryophanales; Bacillaceae
Description: bacterial SSU rRNA
Rfam family: Bacterial small subunit ribosomal RNA
Source: RNAcentral
UGUGGAACGAGCGGCGGACGGGUGAGUAACACGUGGGCAACCUGCCUGUAAGAUUGGGAUAACCCCGGGAAACCGGGGCUAAUACCGGAUAAUACUUUUCGUUGCAUAACGAGAAGUUGAAAGGCGGCUUUUAUAUGUCACUUACAGAUGGGCCCGCGGCGCAUUAGCUAGUUGGUAAGGUAACGGCUUACCAAGGCGACGAUGCGUAGCCGACCUGAGAGGGUGAUCGGCCACACUGGGACUGAGACACGGCCCAGACUCCUACGGGAGGCAGCAGUAGGGAAUCUUCCGCAAUGGACGAAAGUCUGACGGAGCAACGCCGCGUGAGUGAUGAAGGUUUUCGGAUCGUAAAACUCUGUUGUCAGGGAAGAACAAGUGCCGUUCAAAUAGGGCGGCACCUUGACGGUACCUGACCAGAAAGCCCCGGCUAACUACGUGCCAGCAGCCGCGGUAAUACGUAGGGGGCAAGCGUUGUCCGGAAUUAUUGGGCGUAAAGCGCGCGCAGGCGGUCCUUUAAGUCUGAUGUGAAAGCCCACGGCUUAACCGUGGAGGGCCAUUGGAAACUGGAGGACUUGAGUACAGAAGAGGAGAGUGGAAUUCCACGUGUAGCGGUGAAAUGCGUAGAGAUGUGGAGGAACACCAGUGGCGAAGGCGACUCUCUGGUCUGUAACUGACGCUGAGGUGCGAAAGCGUGGGGAGCGAACAGGAUUAGAUACCCUGGUAGUCCACGCCGUAAACGAUGAGUGCUAGGUGUUAGGGGGUUUCCGCCCCUUAGUGCUGAAGUUAACGCAUUAAGCACUCCGCCUGGGGAGUACGGCCGCAAGGCUGAAACUCAAAAGAAUUGACGGGGGCCCGCACAAGCGGUGGAGCAUGUGGUUUAAUUCGAAGCAACGCGAAGAACCUUACCAGGUCUUGACAUCCUCUGCCAAUCCUAGAGAUAGGAUGUUCCCUUCGGGGACAGAGUGACAGGUGGUGCAUGGUUGUCGUCAGCUCGUGUCUU